UCUGUGGAUGAAGCGCUGGACGGAAAGGUCAUUUAGCUGUUGCAACAGAGAUUUUUGAGGUGGCCCCUUCACUAUACAUGGUUGAACUGCGGAAGUCUGGUGGAGAUACACUGGAGUUUCACAAGUUUUACAAGAACCUUUCAACUGGGCUGAAGGAUAUUGUCUGGAAAACAGAUGAAGCAAUCCAGGAAGAAACUCUCAGUGGUAUCGUGGAUGCUAGAUCUUGAUGGCUGUUUACCUCACAUACUUGAAAUGUCAGCGGACGAACGAAUUGUCUUACAUUUUGUUCUUUAUUUCUCUAUACUGGAUUGAAAACUCGGUAAAUAUCAUAGAUCGGACUAUUCUUGCUUUUUCAUGUGGAAUUCUGUGAAUCAUAGUAAUAUUGGAUUUGAAACUUUCUCUCUUUACUUGCAUGCCGUGCAUUCCGCCGUUGAGUCGGGCUGUUAUUUCAUUGAGCAAUUCGUUAGUUACUUGGUUGUUUAGAUAGUGGCCUUUUGGUUCACCUUCAGGCUUUGUUGUUUCCUUCCUGAAAUGAAUAAAAGAUGGGUAUGUACUUUAUGUA
Molecule: long non-coding RNA, 562 nt
Organism: Syzygium oleosum
Lineage: Eukaryota; Viridiplantae; Streptophyta; Magnoliopsida; Myrtales; Myrtaceae
Exons: 4
Source: RefSeq, a predicted model, not a curated record